Molecule: ribosomal RNA, 492 nt
Filed under: uncultured bacterium
Lineage: Bacteria
Description: partial 16S ribosomal RNA
Rfam family: Bacterial small subunit ribosomal RNA
Source: RNAcentral
AGUGAACGCUGGCGGUAGGCCUAACACAUGCAAGUCGAACGGCAGCACAGUGAGAGCUUGCUCUUACGGGUGGCGAGUGGCGGACGGGUGAGGAAUACAUCGGAAUCUACUUUUUCGUGGGGGAUCACGUAGGGAAACUUACGCUAAUACCGCAUACGACCUACGGGUGAAAGCAGGGGAUCUUCGGACCUUGCGCGAAUGAAUGAGCCGAUGUCGGAUUAGCUAGUUGGCGGGGUAAAGGCCCACCAAGGCGACGAUCCGUAGCUGGUCUGAGAGGAUGAUCAGCCACACUGGAACUGAGACACGGUCCAGACUCCUACGGGAGGCAGCAGUGGGGAAUAUUGGACAAUGGGCGCAAGCCUGAUCCAGCCAUACCGCGUGGGUGAAGAAGGCCUUCGGGUUGUAAAGCCCUUUUGUUGGGAAAGAAAAGCAGCAGGUUAAUACCCCGCUGUUCUGACGGUACCCAAAGAAUAAGCACCGGCUAACUUCGUG